ACGUCUUCUUCUCGCUUUCUCCUGAUUUACUGGGUGUAAAGCGCGUGCAGGCGGUUCUGCAAGUGGGACGUGAAAGCGCCCGGCUCAACCGGGCGAGGACGUACCGAACUGCGGGACUAGAGGCAGGGAGAGGCGUGUGGAAUUCCGGGUGUAGUGGUGAAAUGCGUAGAGAUCCGGAGGAACACCAGUGGCGAAGGCGACACGCUGGGCCUGGCCUGACGCUCAGACGCGAAAGCAUGGGGAGCGAACGG
Molecule: ribosomal RNA, 251 nt
Filed under: uncultured prokaryote
Description: partial 16S ribosomal RNA
Rfam family: Bacterial small subunit ribosomal RNA
Source: RNAcentral